GGCGGUUAGAACACAGAGAUUGAUCAUGCCUACAAUGACAACUGGAAAACAGAAAUGAAACCAUAUAAGCCAAGCACUCACGCAAUCUUUGUCCUCCCAGUUGACUUAAGAACACUUGUGAAGAAAAUGUGGCGUCUUUAGAUCUCAGAUCCCUUGUUUCCAACUGGUUCAAAUAAAUAGACAACUCUUCAUUCCGAUGGUACUUCUUAGAGAUAAACCACAUGCAUGUAUCAGAGAAAACAACUCUCAGCCUGGUAAAUGAACAGGAAAAACUUGGGUUAGAAUUCUAUUUCUUUCAAGGUAGAGAGCAAAUUUUCAUAAUCUCACAUGGACAUACAGACCAAGCCAUGCAUGGCACUAUCUACAUAAUCAAGGCGGAGAACACAAAAACUUGGAUAUGAAUGUUCACAGCAGCAUUAUUCAUAAUAGUCAAAAAAUGGAAACAACCGAAAUGCCCACCAACUGAUGCAUGAAUAAACAAAAUGCAGUGCAUCCAUUCAAUGGAAUAUUAUUCAGCCAUUAAAAAGGAUAAAUUACUGAUACAUGCUACAACAUGUAUGAACUUCAAAAACAUAUGCUAAGUGAAAGAAGCCAGCCAUCAAGGACCACAAAUUGUAUUAUUCAAUUUAUAUGAAAUUCUAAAGUAGGCAAAUCUGCAAAGACAAAAUAGUUUAGUGGUUGUAUAGGGCUGGGGUCAGGAGAGGAGAAUAGGAGUGACUGCCAGUGAGCAAGAGGUUUCUGGUGAAAACAUGGAGAGGAGGCUUGAAUAAUUAUCUGAGGUUAGAUUUGUUAUCUGGAGGCACCAUUACCUACUUAAUUUCCUACACAACUCAAAUUCACUAGAAAACUACUGUUGGCUGUACUUUUUUGAUAAUGUAAUUCCUGUAUUUCAAAACUGUUUUUAAGGGUUUUCUUAAUCUCUCCCUUAAAAAACAAAUACUGAGACAGUUACAAAGUAAAAUACACUUUUUAAAAUUUUACUUUCAAAAGAAGAUAAUCAAAAGUGAUACAAUCAUCACAAUUGGCAUUAAAUUAUUGUUUUGAUCUUAAUAUUUUAUUCCCCAUUCAUUUGCUGUUCCUUUUUGUCUGUUCUAAUGCUAUAAUAACUUACCUCAGCUUUAACAAAAUGAAACUUUGUUUUCAUGCUUUAUUAACCUGAAGCUAAUAAUUUUACCUUAGGUGUUAUCAAAAAGUGACUUAUUUUUAGGAUGUUAAUAUCUCAAACAACAGUGUUAUGCUCUGCCACCUACCAAACUCUGGAGUGAGAAAAUCCAAUCAGUUUAACCGACCUUGCACAAUUAAACCAUCAAAUACAUUCCAUAUGCGGGCUUGUUGGCUCGUGCCUGUAAUCCCAGCACUUUGGGAGGUCGAGGCAGGUGGAUCGCUUGAGCCCAGGACUUCAAGACCAGCCUAGGCAACAUGGUGAAACCCUGUCUUUUCUAAAAAUACAAAAAUUAGCCAACCGUGAUAGUGUGCUCCUGGGAAGGCUAAGGUGGGAGAAUCCUUGAGGCCAGGAGGUUGAGGCUGCAGUGAGCUGUGAUUGCACCACUGCACUUUAGUCUGGGUGACAGAGCAAGACCCUGUCUCAAACAAACAAAAAAUCUAUAAUGGAAAACUUAGAAAUCUAAUUGGAUAAUCCUAAGAAACUCCCUCCUGCUCCUAGUUCCUCCCUCAAGUUCUCUAAAAGGUUCAGGAAACAAUUAUAACACUGACAUCUAAAUGUAAUUUGUAAAGUAUUUCUUAUGUUCUCCCUGGUAUUCUCCUUAAAAUCAUCCUAGCUUUCCCAGAACCUAGACAAUAUUGUCUUCUAGUUAAAAUUUUCAUAUGCUGAUGUUUUCUGCCAUUUCUGUUUGGCAGAAAAGCAAACUGGAAAACUUGAUAAACAAGAAAGACCUCAAGUAACAAAAAUUAUAUGUCAUUCUUGGCUCAACUAACAGCUCCAAACCUCUGAAAUGUGGUAGAUCUUUUUCCAAAGGAAGAUCUUACUAACUCUCAGUGUAAAUCUGUACCUUAACUUUAUCACUGUUUAAAACCCAUCUCUAAAUAACAUAGGCCAAGAUCUCCAAAAUCGAUAAUGGGGAAACUGCUCAACAGCAUUCCAGAAGUUCUUAACCAUAAGAGUGAUGCUAUAGUAGAAAGUAAACCGUGAGGCAUCAUGCAUCUUGACUGAAAAUUCCACCCCACACCCACUGAGCUAAUCUGGAGCCGCCAUAGAAGACAGGGAAGUUGGAAGUAGAGACCUUUGCGUAGGCCAUCACCCCUCGCCAUCAAUCAAAAGGAAUUCUGUGAGCUUCUACUGAGAGCCUAGAGCUCUGGUCAGCAGCACAAAGACAGAGCCAGGCAGAAACAACUCCAGAGCCACACCUCCUCUGAAAGACAAUUGUCAGGUGAGAUUUUCAAAUAAAACCACUGGGGAUUAUCCACUAUCUCCCCAAGAAAUUCAAAUGUUUAGAAAUAUAAACACAACACAUACUUUUUUUCAGUAUUUUAUAAAGUUCAACAGUUUUGAUGAUAAUCACAUGUAUGCCAAAUGAUUUGUAAAGUGUAAAAUUUGAAAAAGAUCAGAUAUUAAAUAACAAAUUGAAUGAGAAAAUACGACAACAAUAAAAAAA
Molecule: long non-coding RNA, 2612 nt
Filed under: Homo sapiens (human)
Lineage: Eukaryota; Metazoa; Chordata; Mammalia; Primates; Hominidae
Description: HSALNT0113415
Source: RNAcentral